AUUGAACGCUGGCGGCAGGCCUAACACAUGCAAGUCGAGCGGUAGAGAGGUGCUUGCAUCUCUUGAGAGCGGCGGACGGGUGAGUAAUGCCUAGGAAUCUGCCUAGUGGUGGGGGAUAACGUUCGGAAACGGACGCUAAUACCGCAUACGUCCUACGGGAGAAAGCGGGGGAUCUUCGGACCUCGCGUCAUUAGAUGAGCCUAGGUCGGAUUAGCUAGUUGGUGAGGUAAUGGCUCACCAAGGCGACGAUCCGUAACUGGUCUGAGAGGAUGAUCAGUCACACUGGAACUGAGACACGGUCCAGACUCCUACGGGAGGCAGCAGUGGGGAAUAUUGGACAAUGGGCGAAAGCCUGAUCCAGCCAUGCCGCGUGUGUGAAGAAGG
This 384-nucleotide ribosomal RNA is filed under the name uncultured bacterium. RNAcentral describes it as "bacterial SSU rRNA". It matches the Rfam family "Bacterial small subunit ribosomal RNA", at positions 30 to 414 of the family's 1533-position model. The record is from RNAcentral.